GCGCACCAGGCGAGAAACCUCCACAAUGCACGAAAGUGUGAUGGGGUUACCCUGAGUGCCAUCCGACGAGGAUGGCUUUUCACCAGUGUAAGGCGCUGGUGGAAUAAGGGGAGGGCAAGGCUGGUGCCAGCCGCCGCGGUAAAACCAGCUCCUCGAGUGGUCGGGAUGAUUAUUGGGCCUAAAGCGUCCGUAGCCGGUCUGGUAAGUCCCCGGUUAAAUCCGGCAGCCUAACUGUCGGCCUGCUGGGGAUACUGGCUAGACUUGGGGGUGGGAUAGGCUAAAGGUACUCCCGAGGGUAGGGUGAAAUCCGUAUAAUCCGUGGGGGGACCACCAGUGGCGAAGGCGUUUAGCUGGAACAC
This 359-nucleotide ribosomal RNA is filed under the name uncultured microorganism. RNAcentral's name for it is "bacterial SSU rRNA". It matches the Rfam family "Archaeal small subunit ribosomal RNA", at positions 330 to 688 of the family's 1478-position model. The record is from RNAcentral.